UACGGAGGAUCCAAGCGUUAUCCGGAUUUAUUGGGUUUAAAGGGUGCGUAGGCGGCCUGUUAAGUCAGGGGUGAAAGACGGUAGCUCAACUAUCGCAGUGCCCUUGAUACUGAUGGGCUUGAAUAAACUAGAGGUAGGCGGAAUGUGACAAGUAGCGGUGAAAUGCAUAGAUAUGUCACAGAACACCGAUUGCGAAGGCAGCUUACUAUGGUUUUAUUGACGCUGAGGCACGAAAGCGUGGGGAUCAAACAGG
Molecule: ribosomal RNA, 253 nt
Filed under: uncultured bacterium
Lineage: Bacteria
Description: partial 16S ribosomal RNA
Rfam family: Bacterial small subunit ribosomal RNA
Source: RNAcentral